Long non-coding RNA from Oncorhynchus tshawytscha (Chinook salmon), 741 nucleotides. The record is from Ensembl. NCBI's taxonomy places the organism in Eukaryota, Metazoa, Chordata, Actinopteri, Salmoniformes, Salmonidae.
AGAUGAGGAAAGGCAGCCACUUUAGCCUGUUGAGAUUCAUCCUAAACCUGAAUAGAGCUUCACCCCGAGGCUCUGGCCAUGAUCGUGACUACACCAUGAGGAGUGGGGACUGCUGAGGACUGCUGCUCUGAAGCGAAGCACCGAAGAACAGACUCACGCCUUGGUGAGCAGCAAUGCAUGUGGACAUAACUAACUAUUUUCACAGAAGUGUUUUAAUUUGGAGUUUACUGGACUCCAGUGUAAAUUGCUUUCUCGGUUGCUAUGGUGCCAUUGAGGUGGAUUGUUGUACGCUGUCAGGGCGGCCUGGCUGCGUUGGACCGGGCUGUGAGGUGGUGGUGGUCUCUGGGUGCUGGUCUAGGCAGAGAGGCAGAGGCAGGAGGAACCUGCAGUGGAGCUGAUGCCCGUGCCUGGCCUUGCCCGGGGGGCGAAGAGGGCCGAGUAGAUAGCAGUUGAGACACUCUGCCCUACAGACACUGGUAGGAGGCAGCCUCUGCAAUGGACAUAGGACAGUUUCCUGUGUGUAUCAACAAUAGUUCACCACCCAAAGGACAUCCAGCCAACUUGACACAACUGAGGGAAGCAUUGGAAUCAACAUGGGCCAGCAUCCCUGUGGAACUUAUUUCGCCACCUUGUAGAGUCCAUGCCCCGACGAAUUGAGGCUGUUCUGAGGGCAAAGGGAUGGGGGUGGGGGUGGGGGGUUUAGGAAGGUGUUCUCAUUGUGUGCUUAGUGAAAUUCAAACG